UGGGUGUGACAGUGCUACACUGGGUGUGACAACACUGUGCCAGGUGUGACAACACUACAUUGGGUGUGACAACACUACAUGGGGUGUGACAACAUGACAUUGGGUGUGACAACACUCCCAUGGGUGUGACAGUGCUACAUUGGGUGUGACAACACUACAUUAGGUGUGACAACACUGUGCCAGGUGUGACAACACUACAUUGGGUGUGACAACACUCCCGUGGGUGUGACAGUGCUACUUUGGGUGUAACAGUGCUAUGUUGAGUGUAAUGACACUGAGUUGGGUGUGACAAACCGACAUCGGGUGUGACAGCGCUGCACUGAGUGUGACAGCACUGCUUUGGGUGUGACAGUGCCACACUGGGACUGAUAACACUGCGUUGGGUGUGACAAUGGUGUCAGGUGUGACAGCACUGUGUUGGGUGUAACAGUGCUAUGUUGGGUGUGACAACACUGUGCCACGUGUGACAGUCCUACAUUGGGUGUAACAGUGCUAUGUUGGGUGUGACAGCACUGUGUUGGGUGUGACAACACUACAUUGGUGUAACAACACUGUAUUGGGUGUAACAGUGCUAUGUUGGGUGU
Molecule: long non-coding RNA, 584 nt
Filed under: Gallus gallus (chicken)
Lineage: Eukaryota; Metazoa; Chordata; Aves; Galliformes; Phasianidae
Source: RNAcentral